RNAcentral lists this ribosomal RNA (212 nucleotides) under uncultured bacterium. Its description in RNAcentral is "partial 16S ribosomal RNA". The record is from RNAcentral.
CUUUCGUCCCAUCGGAAAGAGGUUUACAACUCUAAGGCAGUCCUCCCUCAGACGGUGACUCUGCGUCCCAAUUCGCGCAUUGAGCAAGAUUCCCCAGGGGAGCCUCCCGAGGAGUCUGGGCCGUGUUUCAGUCCCAGUGUGAUGGAUCAUCCUUUCAGACCAGUCAAUCCUUUUUGCCCUGGUAGGCCUUGACCCCACCACCAAGCUGAUGA